RNAcentral lists this ribosomal RNA (502 nucleotides) under uncultured bacterium. Its description in RNAcentral is "partial 16S ribosomal RNA". It matches the Rfam family "Bacterial small subunit ribosomal RNA", at positions 28 to 507 of the family's 1533-position model. The record is from RNAcentral.
GACGAACGCUGGCGGCGUGCUUAACACAUGCAAGUCGAACGGUGAAGGGGUCUGCUUUUGUGGUCCCUGGAUGAGUGGCGCACGGGUGAGUAACACGUGAGUAACCUUCCCCCUUCUUCUGGAUAACCGCAUGAAAGUGUGGCUAAUACGGGAUAUUCUGGGUCUGUCGCAUGCUGGGUCUGGGCAAGAUUGCGCCUUUGGGUUUUUUUGGUGGGGGAUGGGCUCGCGGCCUAUCUGCUUGUUGGUGGGGUGAUGGCCUACCAAGGCGGUGACGGGUAGCCGGCCUGAGAGGGUGGACGGUCACACUGGGACUGAGACACGGCCCAGACUCCUACGGGAGGCAGCAGUGGGGAAUAUUGCACAAUGGGCGCAAGCCUGAUGCAGCGACGCCGCGUGAGGGAUGGAGGCGUUCGGGUUGUAAACCUCUUUCGCCAGUGAAGCAGGCCUGCUCCUUGUGGGUGGGUUGACGGUAGCUGGAUAAGAAGCGCCGGCUAACUACGUG